Molecule: non-coding RNA, 71 nt
Organism: Globomyces sp. JEL0801
Lineage: Eukaryota; Fungi; Chytridiomycota; Chytridiomycetes; Rhizophydiales; Globomycetaceae
Source: the annotation of a GenBank genome assembly
GGGUGGUAGCACAACGGUAGUGCAUCGGUCUCCAAAGCCGAAGGUUGCGCGUUCGAAUCGCGUCCGCCUCA